This 24212-nucleotide long non-coding RNA is filed under the name Vitis vinifera (wine grape). Its description in RNAcentral is "long non-coding RNA (VVIN_LNC007290)". The record is from RNAcentral. Lineage: Eukaryota; Viridiplantae; Streptophyta; Magnoliopsida; Vitales; Vitaceae.
CCAUUGUUACACUCACUGCGCAGUAGGAUGAUAUAGGUAGAUACAAUAGAUAUAGAUGAUUCUAGGGUUUCUUACCCAGGGUGUGCUUGUUGUUGUGCAUCCAAACCUUGAGCACAUGACGUUUCACGCCCGUUUCGCUACAGAACUGCUGCACCACUGCCUCGUCAUGCUUCUGAAUCCUCCACCCCAAACUCUCUGCCAAACCGAACAUCUUAUCCUUUUGCUCCUGCGUGAACUUGGUCCUGAACCUCUUCUUUGAUGACCCAGCUCCGCUAGGGUUGGACACGUCCUCUUGGUCAUCCCGGCUAUGGGUUCCGCCUCCACCCGAUGUCGACGCAGAGCCAAUGGCCUAUGGUGAGCUGCGACGUGCAGUACCCCGCCGGCGUCCUAUAGUNNNNNNNNNNNNNNNNNNNNNNNNNNNNNNNNNNNNNNNNNNNNNNNNNNNNNNNNNNNNNNNNNNNNNNNNNNNNNNNNNNNNNNNNNNNNNNNNNNNNACCCCCCUCUUCCCCCCAAGUCCCCAAUCUGUUUGGUUGAAUGGGAGUUUUGGUGUGGCUUGGACACAUAGGAGCGAGGGAGAGAGGGAGAAGUUUUUGAAUGAGGUGGUGGAGGGGGAAUCAACAAGUUUCAUGCUUUUUAGCCUGAAAAGGAUAACUCCCCAGCUGUUAAUUAUCAGAUUUCUUUCUUAACAGCUAUAGCUAUACAAGUAGGUGGAGGUUGAGGACCAAAAUUUGAAGUUUUCAUGUCUUUUGUUCAGAGGGGAUACAGCUUUCUUGUUGCUGCUAUUUCAUAUUCAGGAAAAAAAAUCAAAAAAAAAAAAUGGGACUGAAAAACCCAAAAAAAAAAAAAAAAAAAAAAAAAUUUAAAGCAGUUAUUGUCCUGUUUAAAAUUCUAUUUCUUCUCCUGAAUUUAAAAAAAUAAUAAUAUAUAUUAUUGUAAAUUCCUUUGGGACAUAUUGACAACCAGGACAAAAAUAGAGUAAAUGUGUGAUUGUGGGGGUGGUGGUGAAUGGACGAUUAUAACCUCAAUGUACUUAAUUACGAGGAAACGAUAAAUGGUGGUACUCCCUUGUUCUGAGUUCUCAUUGAAGAGUCAUACUUCCAGUUCUCAGAAACAUGGGAAACGACGUCGUUUUAAGCUUGGGUUUCAAUGAUUGUAAUCGCCCCUGUGGUUGUCAUGGAGAUUUACUAUAAAAGGUGAAAGCGAGAGCCCGAGAGGAGAGGCCCAGUGGGCCACCAACCCCUUUGUUUUGACUGUGAGACUGGUCAACAUCUUUGUUUGGUCUGCACUCUAGGAAACCUUGGGAAUCCAGGGUGCUGCGUGCAGAUGUACACACUGGAUCACAAUGUUCACAUGACUCAGGAAUUGAACAUCACACGUGCUUUGCCCUGAUGGGCCCAUUCAUUUCCCCUGCAAUUCCCUGCUAAGACAUGUCUCCACUUUCACACAUUUCAUAUUUUCUUUUUAUAAUUAUAAAUAUAUUCCACACGUGCCGCAAAAAUAGAGACUCUACAAAAUAGUUUUUGUUGUCACCUUAAUGCUUUUCAUUUAUGAAACCUUUGGGUGAUAUUUCAAGAGGUUUGGUGAAGGGGUGGUUUGAUAAAAUUUAAUAUUUAUUAUUUAAUUUAAAUUGAUUUUUAAAUUAUAUUUAAAUCAUUAACUUAAAUUUUAUUAUUUAGUUUUUAUUUUAAGUAUUAAUAUUAUUCAAUAAAAUUAACUUUAAAUUUAUUUUAGAUUGUCAAUUCGUAUUUUUCCUCAUAAAUAAAAAAUGAUUAAGUGAUUUUAUAUUUCUAAUAAAAAAAUACCCAUAAUUUUAUUAAAUCAUAAUAUCUAAACACAUAUAAUAAUUAUAAGAUUUUGCAUUUGCCUAAAUGGGUGGUGGUGGAUACAAGAAAUUCCCACACCCACACUUCAUUUAACAUUUUUAUUUUUAUUUUUCAUUUUUUUACUCAUGGUAUUAAAAUAUAUAUAAAUUAAUGAAUAUUAUAAAUAUUUAUAAUAUUUAUAAUUUUUUAUUUAAUAUAUAAAAUCAGGGUGAGGUGGGGCUCAAACCCGUCUCAGGUUUUAGUUUUUUUUUAGUAUUUGAUUCACCAUUAAAAAAUAAAUAAUAAAUAAAAUAUAAUAUAAAUGUAUUAGAAAUUUGUAUAUUUUAAAAUUAUUUAAUUUUUACAUAAAAAAGAAAAAAAUAAAAUGAAUUUGAAAAAAUAUGUAAAAAUAAUUUAUUAUUUUUCAUUUUCUAUCCUUAACAUUUUUUCUUUAAAACUUUCAAGAAACCAAUAUAAGUAAAAGAUUUUGUAUUUCAAAUGCAAAAUAUUUAUACAUUUGAUUACAUUUAUAGAACCUCACAAAUUCACUUAAAUAUAUAUUUUUCAUAUCCUCACUUAAUUGAAGUGAUGUAAAACACUCCUUCCACUAAUACAUUAUAAGACAAUAACCCAAACUUUUAUAUUUUGUCCAAGAAAUAUUGAUUCAUGGAGCUCAAUCCCACCAUCAUGACUCAUGAGUUGAGAAAAUGUAUGUAUAGCCAAAAACGGACCAUACCUAAAACUAGAUCAAAUUCUAAUUGCUCAAAUCGAUCAUGUAGUAGUAAAAUCAGCUAAGCCUUAUUUGGCUACUCUAAGAACAUAUACAUUAAUUACAUUAAUAUAUAAAAAAUCAAAAUCCGGUGAUAUAACCCACGAUUUUUCAAAAGUGGAAUAAAUGUUAGAAGUGAGUUUAACCGAUUCCAAGGUCUUUUAUUACAUUCUUAUUUUCUUUAUUUUAAUUUAUUGUUUUAUUAAAACUAUAUUUUCUUUUCACAUUAUAUUUAUUAAUAAAGUGGUUUUUUUUAAAAAAAAUAUAUGUUUUGUCUCGAUCCUCAUAAUUUUAAUCAUUUUUUAAAUAAUAGGUGAUGAUUGAAUAAAGGAAAAAAAAUUCUCAUUAUUAUAAAUCAAAAGGAACGUAUGAUGAAAAGGAGGAAGGGUUUCUUUGUGAGUGGCAUGUUCAUGCUUGUUCCCAUUGCGGACAAAGCUGGAAGCUCCACACCACACAUUAUGCAAACUAUGUGCGAAUCAUUAGCAACAAGACAACGUUUUAUCAUCACUCAGCCUCCCUUUCUGUCAAACUAGAAAUCGAUCGAACGAGUCAUUCAUGUUUCAGCUUAUUACUCCAUUGAACAACUUGAUUCCAGCCAUUGAGGGUAAUUGAACUAAAAAUUUGGAAUCCCUGUGGGACAACCCAAGAGCAUGGAUUAUUGCUGCAUUGAAGACUUGAACUUCUUCCUUGCUUACUUCUUUCUCUGCCACAAAAAUUGGAACUGUAAGUUUAGGACUCAAAUUUGAGUAAAAUCUCUCACACCCACAAGUUGAUUUAUAUUAGUGAGAAAUUUUACCACCAGAAAGAUAUGAAAUCUAGGGCUUUAUGAAAUCAUCUUUCACAUGUGUGGCUGCAGGACAGGAGAAGAGGGGUUUAGGUUCAGAAUCCAGUCAUUAUGGCCUCAAAAGAAAUGAAAAGGAAACUACAACCCAAACAAGCCAGAAAGUCGCCAUUUUCAGAAUCACUCUCUCCUCUCUCAUAUGCUGGAUAAAAGUUUUAUAUACAAAGCAAAUAUAGGAGUAGGACAUAACUGUGGCUUUAGGAUGGUCGCAGCCUGCACUCACUAACAUGGGGAAGGCAAGUAAUAGAAUAUGUCGCCUUUGACUGACUAGUAACAGCUAAGCAUGGUCAAUUUGGUUAUUAAAUUUAUUACUCUCUGUGGCUGACUGUACAGUUAAGGAAUAAGCAUCCCGAUUACAGAGAUAUAUAUAUGCAUGGCAUAUGAGAUAGACCAAGAGAGGACUGUCUUCAAACUGUAAAAAGCCUAUUCUCUUCUAUCAAAAUAAUUAAAAUUUCUGGGGCCUAAGGUCAGUUUGAACUUUGAAUGCCAAAUUUUGUAACUAUUAUUCGAAUUAGUUUUUAUAUACAUUUAUAGUUUUCAGUCCAUGUCUAUAAUAUUUAUAUCCGUGGGGACCCUAAGCUAAAGUCACUGCAAAACUGGCCUAGGUUUGGUGGGGACUUAACAGCUCUGAGGGCAUGUAGAACAACCACAAAUGAAGUGCUCUCUCUCUUACUGGUACGCAGAGACACCUGGGGUUUUUUUUUAACCGAGAAAUUGAAUGUUGACGGGACGAGAAAUUGUUAUGAGCAGUGCCACCAGAGAGGUACACAGGACCCAAGAAGGGAACCUUUUCUGAGUGGGUGGUGGUGGUGACUGGUGAAUGACUAAGAAAAUGGAAGAUGGGUAAAAGGGAUUGGUCAGAACACUCAACACAGAAGUGUAGCAGAGCCGAAUUUUUUUGUCUAUUCCCUUGGAUGUUACUAAGACCAGCAGUUACUCUGGUAUUAAGAUUAGCAUUAAUGGUAGAAAAAUGAAGGUUGUCUCCAACUGGGAACAGGUAGUGGCACCCAGCACAUCCCAUCUCAAUGAAAUUACAGCAACAACCGGAACAGUGUAAAAAAACUUGAAGGGGAAAAGAGAAGUUCUGAAUUAGUCAGGCCACAUCAUAUUCUCCAGAGAAUAGGUCCAGUAAUACCCCUGUUCCUAAUGGUAUACUCUCUUCCCUUCUCCUUACGUGCAGGAUACCUCCUGCCAUCCACUCACAGCAAACACUGAAACCCCUUUCACCAUUAUGGGACUAGACUCAAAUCGCAUCUACAUGGGUGGCUAGCUUUAUUUUGUACCCAGCUAACAGAAGCUUGCAACUAUAAAGGAGAGUUGGUACAUGCUUUUGAUAAGAGUUAAAACUGACAAGAUCCGAAUUUAAGGACUGAUUUAUGGAUCAUGGUGUUAUUCUAGUUUAGGGGUACAUCAUAUAUGAAGAAGGAUUAGGGUAUGCCCUGCUGCAGGCUGAACAGUGGAUCAUUGCUGCCAUUCAAUGGAGAUCACUGCCGACAAAAAGGACAUUAUUGCAAAAUGCACUCAAUCAGCAUUUUGAUUGCUAAUUUAGUUGAAUUUGUAUAGCUCCUUGUUGAAUUUCAAUACUGUAUCAGGGACUAAGCCAGACUUCAUUAAUGGUGCUUCCCACAACUGCUCGUGUUCCAUGGUUCCUGACACCCGCCUAAAGGAUUAGUUUUCUUCGAGCAGUUAUUGUUAAAUUUCAGAAGCAAUCCUGUAGUGCCUAAUCAAAAUGGACAUAAGCAUCUAUUCCAUGAUUUGCAGCUCAAUUUCUCCAUAUAAAGCCAUUAAGGUUUGUGUUUUUCAUUGUCUCUAAAUCCACCAAAUACGUUUCCCCUUGAAUACAAACAUGAUAAAUAAAACAUUAAAAACCAAGCAACAAACUGCUUGCAUGCUUUCUAAGGACUUAUUAUUGAGGCGCCUACUGAGAACUGGCAUAAUAAUGCUAUACACUUAAAAAAAAUUGUUCAAAUUUGUAGGGAACAUAAUCCCUUGUAUUAUUUCUACCAUAGAAUGAGGUAAGCUGACUAUCCAGCUACCAUUCCAAACAGGCUUUCUGCUUUCUAGUUUACCCUUUAUGAGCAAAGGUUUCUCGAGUCUCUAUUGUAGAUGACAAAGCUCGCUGAUCAAACAAAAUCAGGCUGGCCUGUUGAAGUCAAGCAACGAUGCCACAUGCGGCUGUUAGGGUCCACAACUCUGGGGUAAGAAACGACUUCAGGAAUGGGAAGGUAGACAUAGUGAGUGUUGCAUAUACCCACUGUAAUUCCACUAUAUCCAGCAAAAGCACCAUGAACCUGUCAAAACCAUGCAUCUACUCUGUUAACAAAAUAACUUCGCAUAAAUGGUUCAAACAUCAAAACAUAAGAAGAAAAGUUGCAAUUUGAGCAAGCAGAAAACCUGGUUCAGUGAAGGGAUACUUGAAGACUACAUCUCCAUUCAUGCCAAGGAUGUAAUGAAGUAAUUCUAACCAUUCAGGCCCUGUAUUAGAUUGCCAGAGCCUCACUUGAAUUUUGGCCAAGCCCAAAGUUUAUUAAGUUUGACUGGUGGUAUUUUAGACUACUAUAUUUAAAUUUAAAAGAGCUUAAUUCUGCAUAGGUGGACAGAAUGUUCUACAAUGCCCUGCAUAAUCUACAAAAGCAUGGUUUGGGUCCAGAACAUUCUAGAGUUUGCUAACAUAGAAUUAGAAUAUUCUAGAACUAAUGGAAAAGAAAAGACAUGAAUGUAUCCUUAUAGAGAGUAGUCUAAAGAAUCUAGUCUAAAAUGCCAAAAAGGAGCUUAUAAAUGGGUCAUGACCUCACAUUCAAUAUCUUGCAAGCUCUUCUGGGUGCUCUAAAACGUUCAGUGUGGGACAUGAUAAAGCUCAAAGGUUUGCCAUUCACUCCAUCUAGACUUCAUUAACUACCAAAGCACUUGAUGAGCCAAACAAUUUUAAACCUUCUAAUGCAUCUGAUGUACGAAAUCACAUCCAUGAGCAUAAGUUUUACUUGCUAAUGAUAAUUAUGUUACUAAUAAUAGUGGGAAAAUGCAAGAAUGAGAAACUCACAGCAUUUUGUCCUAGUACAGUGCAUAGAAUUCCGUCUGAUGCAUUUGCACGGCAUGCACGAAUCAUGUACGUUGGAUCUAUAUACUUGACAUCAGCUGGAUUGCCAGUUGCUUUAAAAUAUUUCUUUGUCUGGUACAUAAUGAUUGAAUAAAUAUCAGUAUCAUUUCAAUAGUUUCUUGUAGAAAAACAUUAAGAGUGUGUUUGGUAGUGAUUCUAAAAAGUGCUUUUAGUCUUUCUAACACUUGAAAAUUUUUAUCUUUCAAGUAUUAGAAAGACUAAAAACACUUCUUAGAAUCACUGUCAAAUGCACUCUUUGAUUCAGAAGCCAAGAUAAAUUACAAUCCCAAACCUCUUGUUGAAUAUGUACACCAAUAUCUCCAAAUACAAUAUUUCCAGAUGCAUCUGUAGCAUUAGUUUUCUCAAGAAAAUUCUGCAUUGAAAGUAAUAAAAUAAUUUUUUUGUUAGUUUUGUCGGCAUCAAAAUAACAUAAUCUCAACAUAGCACAAAAAAUGAGUAGUUUUCAGUGUGUAACAUGACAUAGCAUCAUACAUAUGAAAAAUCUUACAAAUAAGAUGAUUGUUUUCCAGAAUGAAGCAAAUUACAAGUGUUAGAAAAAACAAUAUAAAUCCUCUAAUCAAUUAACAACCAGAAUAUUUUAAACAGCAAACCACAUGUCAUCAUUAUGUUUUGGAGGACUUUCCAAUUCAAGGAGUAGACAAAACAUAAUGUUUGACUUAUUUCAUCGGAAGAUCUUGUUUGCCUUUUCAUUUCAAUAGAUGAAGGCUUUUUAUGUUGAGAGAUUGUGAAUUCCUGGUUAAAUGAUAAAAACCAUGAGAGCUAUUUUGGAAGGAAUUAAGCAGCAAUUUUGUCCAGUGGAACAGUGAAAUAUGGAUUAAGAAAAUCAUUAAAGGCUAAAAAUUCCACCCUGGAUGAGACUACAUUUCAAAAUGAAUCUUCACCUUUGGAAUUAAAACUAAAAAUUAAAGCAUAAAGGCAGUGAAUGCUUUGCUGAUUAUAACAAACUGAAUCUAAAUUGACCAAAACACAAAAAGACACGAUAAGAAAUGGGAAUUAGAUGAGGAACUAUGAAAGCAAAAAUUCUAAGUCUGCCUUGAUAGCAAAGCCAACUAUCAGAGCCAAUGCAAGGAUAAGUGUGAUUCUGUAGCUCAAAAACUUUGAGAAUUGAGAUAACUAAAGUUAUAGCCAUGUAAAAGCCUGGCCAUUUCAUCGUAGCAAGUGAAAAUUUUCAAAGUACUCAACAUGGUUGGCCAUCAAACCCAGGAAACAGCAAAUUUAUUGUUCUGAUUGUUCAGAAAUUACCAAAAAGCGUUAAAAAUAAGAACUAAAGCAAUCCAUAUAUAGAAAGGGUUUUGUUCUUUUUUAAUUCUUGGACUAGAGGUGCAAUAACACACGCUUGCCAUUACAAUUGAAGCUCAAGCAGAGAAGUGAUGAAAGGGUUGGGGUUGGGGUAGUUCUAAGGUGUGAAUCUCCUAAUGUCUUCAUUUAUUUGUUGAAAAAACCAUUAAGAACAUGCAUAGGAGUAAUGUCAGAUUACUAAAAUGGGAGAAAAGGUGUAGCAUGCAUAAGUUUCCCACUACCCAUUGAACCGGAGAAGGGAGCUGAUUGAUGGUUCAACUAUCUCAUUUGGUGAUGUCAAAGAUAUACUAUUUACUAUAUAAUUAUCUAGCAUAGUCAAAUGAAAGCAGCUAGAAUAGAAUAAACUAAGAAAAAUUUGGUGUUCGUUUGGAUUCACUUCUUGUUUUUUGUUUUAAAAUAGAAAAUAAUAGUAACUUUUAUAUAAAAUAUAAGGACUUUUAGAGGGCUUGUAUUAAAAAGGUAAUGGUUUUUAAAAGCCGAUUAAAAAAAUGGAGGCAUUAUAAAAAUUUUAUUACCUCAAAUUUUAAAAUUUCAGAAAGUAAUUUCUAAGGACAAGGUAAAUCUAUAUUUUUUUGUACAAAAGUUUCUAUCUUUUAUAUAGAGUUUUCGGGCAUUGAAUCUCUGGCCUUAGCCUGCCUGCCAGUCUUUAUAUCUUGAAAGAACAAAGGGAAGCACUCAGAAACUAUUCCAGCAUGCCAUUUGAAGAAAUUCUUCCCUCAGUUGCUCUCAGCAAUCUGAACAAUCUCUACUCUGGCUCAGCACUCCCCUGAUUUACAUGAAAGAAUCAUCCUCAUAAAACUAGCAUCCCGAAUGGUGGAGCUCAAGGAAAGCACCAUGAGAGAAAGAACAAUGAUCCAUUCUGCCAAAGCCUCUCAGUCUACUGCUUCUUAAAACACUUCUAACUCUGAGAUCAGUCACAUGUACAAAGGUAGCAGCUACGACUUCUUCCUUCUGGGCUUCCUUGCCAAGUCCAAUAGCAACAGAUUCUGUACCAGCAAACCAUAUUCAAAUGGGUGUUCCCUCUUCAUUCUAGCUUUCUAAAUAAGUCAGAUCAGUGCCUUGCCAAAGCCUCUCAGUCCACUGCUUCUUAAAACACUUCUAACUCUGAGAUCAGUCGCAUGUACAAAGGUAGCAGCUACGACUUCUUCUUUCUGGGCUAACUUGCCAAGUCCAAUAGCAACGGAUUCUGUACCAGCAAACCAUAUUCAACCGGGUGUUCCCUCUUCAUUCUAGCUUUCUAAAUAAGUCAGAUCGGUGCCUUGAGCUGGGAAAAACUCCUAAAUGAGUAAAUCCAGAAGUUCCUGCCUUGCCCACCUGAGUCGAAUAGUAACUUCCAUAUAAAAUAUAAGGACUUUUAGAGGGCUUGUAUUAAAAAGGUAAUGGUUUUUAAAAACUGAUUAAAAAAAUGGAGGCAUUAAAAAAAAUUUAUUACCUCAAAUUUUAAAAUUUCUGAAAGUAAUUUCUAAGGACAAGGUAAAUCUAUAUUUUUUUGUACAAAAGUAUCUAUCUUUUAUAUAGAGAUUUUAUUUUUAAAAACAAAAAACAGAAAGUGUAUACAAAUGAAAUCUUAGUUUAACCGUUUAUAGGUAAAAUGGUUUUUUAAAAACAAUUGCUUGUCUAACAGCUUGUCAAACAUGCACCCAUGGUUCUCACAGUGCAACCAAUCAGUCUGUCCCACUGAAGGUAAAAAUAGAAAAUAGCAGUUUUGCAACUGAGAAACUCAUAAAAUCCUACAAGCUAUCAUGCAACUCCUCUUGCAUUAAAAAUUCACAUGUAUGGGCUUCUCUUAUAUUUCCUUCCAUAAACCACUGCAGGUAUGAGGUAUCCCAUUUCUUUCCUUCCAUAAACCACCUCUGGUAUCCCAUUUCCUUUGAGCAAGAUAUUUACUUGCAUCUGCUUUUGUCUCAAUUAAAAUUUAAUACCCAUUGCCAUAGGAAGCGAUAUUAAAAGAAUAUAGUAUCGUACAAGAGUAUGAGUUGCCUUGGGUUUGAGAUUUGAGAUAGCCAGCUGACCUCAAGUUGAGCUAGUCACUCAAACAAUCGGUAUNNNNNNNNNNNNNNNNNNNNNNNNNNNNNNNNNNNNNNNNNNNNNNNNNNNNNNNNNNNNNNNNNNNNNNNNNNNNNNNNNNNNNNNNNNNNNNNNNNNNACAUAUAUCAAUUUGUCCACUAGCUAGGGAUGCUUGCAUGGUUAUAAAUCCACUGCUACGUCCCAUCAAUUUCACAAUACCAAUUCCACGAUAAGCACUAUGCGCCUGUUAAUAAAAAUUCAUUUUAACACAAAGGUAUUGAUACUAAGAAAAUCAGGGCAUGGACAGCUUCAAUGUGAAUUGAAAAUUGUGAAACAAAGCAGAACUAAAACCUAGAGGCUACAAUCAAUUUGUACCUCUAUGUAUGCUGAAUUAAUUGCUCUUUGUGAUUCUUCAACAGCAGUAUCAAAACCAAAAGUUUUAUCCAUAUGUAGAAUAUCGUUGUCUAUGGUUUUUGGAACACCGACUAUUGCCACCUUCAUACGUCGUUUACGGCACUGCAAGCCAAAGAAAAGAACAUGUAAUUAGACUUCCCAGGAAAUGAAAGGCGAUUCCUAGAAGGAAUUAGAGCAAGCAUUAAAAAAAUCAUAAUGAUAGGAAGAAAGUUGCAAAAGUGGAGCUCUGAUAAGCUUCCUGCUGACAAAUAUGCAUAAGGUAGCAGUAUAUCAAUAUCACUUGAUACUAGAGAAAUGAAAAGUACAUUUAAACAGCAGGAAUGCAAAUCAUGUUUGCUAACAAGUGGAAUAGUGUGUUGAAACGCAUGUGAUAUAAGGAUUUGAGUGAUAACUAUUCUACUUGAACAAAUUGCUUUAUUCCAGGUUCCUCAAGUACAAAAACAAAAUAUUUAUAGAUAUUGACAUUUAAAUGAGAUUACAAAAAUGUGCAACAGCUGAGUAUAAGAAUCAGGCUUGACUACCUCAUUGUGUAUUGCAUUGGCACCAGCAUGAGUACCAUUUCCACCCAACACAAAAAGCAUGUUGAUUCCUCUUUUCUAACAGCAAAAUGAAAAUACAUAUAUCAGAACACUUGAUGCCUGGCAUCAUUAUGUAAUUCUACAUCAGCAAUUUCCUCAAGCAAACAAAGAAAUGUCUAACAAUAGGAAACAAUAAAUUGAGCACCUCCAUACUAUCAACAAUUUCAGCAACACUAGGUCCCCCACGUGAAACUCCUAGCAAACUUCCGCCAGAAAGAUGAAUAUUUUGAACCACUUUCCUGGACAGCUGAUAAUCAGAGCCACAUCCAAACAAAUUAAUUGAAUAUUCCUAAAUAUUCUCAAAAAAGAUUAAAUGUAUGCAUAUCUUGAAACUGUUUAAACAGAACCGCAAGAACAGAACCCACUUACAGGCAUUUCAGCUAUUUCUUCAGAAAAUCCACGAUAGCCAAAAGGAAUUCCCACAAUGUUUUUUACACCAUAUAUUUCAAGUGUAAUAACAAUCUGCAGAAGAUGCACACUUAAUCUCUGAAAGACUUAAUACAAGCAUUAAAGAAAAUCAAUUUUAGACAAUGUUGUACGCAUAUUAGCAUAACUAUUUUUUGCCAGAAUAAAAAGUGGAACGUGAGUAUAAACAAUCCUGUCUAAACUUAGCACAAUAAUACAACAUCCAGAAAGCUAUAAGCAAUCAACAUUCAUUAAUAGCCUCCAAAAGGCAAUGCCGGUUCAAGCUAAACCCUGAGGAUAAAACAGACCCAAAUUUGGAAACUACAAGUGCAUGAGGGUUGAUUAUGUAGACCUGUGUGCUAACAUUAAAAUUAGGUUUGUAAUUAAGUAUACAACAGUUCAACUUUUAAACUGGUAACCAGGCAGUCUAAAAGACCAUAGCCUAUGCAGUUUCUUACCUACCUGGCUUAUCCCCCUGAAAACAGUCUAAAUAUUAAUCCAUAUUUUUCCCACCACACCAGUAUAUUAUCUACUACUAACCCAUGUUUCUACUUCCAGUUGUUUGGAUCCUAAUGAGCUUGCAAAAACUAUGGUAUUUGAUAAGUGGUCAAUUUUUGAAGGCAUGAUAAGUUAAACCAUACAUAGACAUUAUGAUACAGAAUAUGAACUGCCUGUUCAUAGCAAAUUCAAGAAAGCAUAUAGAUAUAAGUAUUCUAACGAAAUUAAGCACAAUAUUAAUUUUUUUUUUCUCCGAUUUUUAACUUCAAAGAACAGCUGUCUGUUACAAAACAAAAGCAAAUCUAUAAAAUCCGAAGAAUGCAUUUCCCCCAUGAGUCAAAUGGUGCUAUAGUGUCUGCAACAUCAGGGGUUGUAAGAUAUGGCUAAUUUCAUCAGAAAAAGACUGAGCAGGAUAGUGGUGGACAUGCUAACUACCUGUCUGAUAACAUCAUUAAGACCAGGGCAGAGCCCUCCGCAAGUUACAAUUGCUGCAUUUACUGUUUCAGGUUUGAAGUAUAUUUUUUCCCGAGGCCCAGCACGGUGAACCCUGGAAAGGUUUCAUCAUAUCAAUCAAAUACCAAAUAAACCUUUAGAUAAAAUAUAAUAUCAUAUCAAAUGCAAACAUUAAAAGUAAAACAAUGACUAGAUUAUGUUGAUAGAUAACUAAGAUCAAAAGCAGCAUUUUGUUGAUUUUCUGGACCAUGAAAGAUAGAAUGAAAACAAUAACAUAAAAGAAGUUGGGUGCAACCGAUUUUACUUUUCCUCUCAUCCUUUUUCAAUGAAAAAAACUUCACAAGUGACAAGUGAAACAUCUUAUUUUUUGAGAAAUCUGGCUCAAUGUUAUUUGGCUACCAGCCGUCUCUAUAAACAUCAAAAUCAGGCAACAAUAUUUCAUAAUUACAUUAAAUGAUAAGUCAUGAAGAGUGAUCUUUCAUGAAUCAUGUUUCUUAUGCACUCAUACAGGAUCACACCAGAAGUUAAGUAGCAAUCUAUCACAACCUCAUUAAUUUAGCCCCAUGUCUUCAAAAGAAGUAAGAUAAUAUAUUUGAAUGCCUUUUUUUUUGUUCUCAAGGGAUCCUGGGUCCAUCCUCCAGUAAUUAUUCUUUUUUCCUUUUUUGGCUGGUUUCUUGGUAGAAAAAUCAUCUUUUUUGAUUCCCAUUAUAUGCAUCAUAAAACAUUUUAGAUCAAAAGAUUCUUCCAUUUAUUUUUACAUAUGCAUGCUUUCUCAAUUCACAGAUGCCUACACGAAGUUGAGUGACAUAUUUACCAUUGCUCCACCCAAGUACAAUCAGGAUCAAUGCACUCAGCACCAGCGGAUGUAGGGGAGGAGUAGUAUAUGACCUGAAAUAUCAGAAAAUAUUUAAUACAAAAGUGAACAGUAUUGUAACUAGAAAAGAGUGAUUUGUAAAAAUGGAAAUCAAUUCCUGGCAUGAUAAAUGGAGAUAAUCAUGCUGCCUGGAAACCUCCAUCUAAUACCAUCAAGGAUUGGGAAAAGUUUGGACAUAUAACAAAUAAGUGCCAAAUCACUCACAUAAUCACAUUUGUUCCCACACUGAUUUCAUUUGCAUUGACACCAGAGUGAGUCUAAAAGUUUGCAUUCUGCCUAUUUUUCAUCCUUUCUCCUUUAAUUUGGGUUGACACUACAAGGAAAUCUAGUCUAAAAUGUUUGGAAUACCACAACUAUGGUUUAUUUAUUUCAGUAGCAUUAUUUUAUCAAAUUAAUUGAUGAUCAGUCUAAAAUUAAUGGUCCACACCUAAUAACCAGUGCACACAAGUAUAUGCAUCUAAAUAAUUGUUGACCCACUAGAUUUUACAGUUUUAUCUAAACGGGGAUGCUAGUAAAUAGGACAAUAUGUAGAGCAUCAAAACAUUAAGGCUAAAGUGUAGUCAGUGCACGCUAGUAGCAAGAUGUAGAGAGUUUUUUAUUUAAUGGUGCGGGGUUUUUUUUCUUCUAGGGAGUCCUUAAGGCUUCAUUUGGAUCCUGGAAAGUUAGAAGGAAAGUCCAAGGGAAAAGGAUAGAGAAGAAAAAUGGAAAGAAAGAAAAAGGUUUAAGCUCAAUAAAUUUUUCUCACGUGCUUUUCUAAUUUAUUCUUUCUUUCUUAUUCUAUAUGACAAAUAAAGAAUUUGAAAGCAUACAAAUUUUUAAAUAAUUUUAUUAUCUUCUAUUUUUUUCUUAGUAUUUUCCACAAUAAACAAAACAAGAGGAAUUGAAAUUCCUUCCUACCUUUUUUUCCUUCCUUUAGUACUUUCUUGUGCUCUAAAUGGAGCCUUUCAUAAAGCCUAUAAACAAGCCUCUUGGUGGAAACACUCAUUAAUGCCUAGAUAUGUAUUUAAAAAGAGUGAAAUCAAACCACCACCCAAAGGAAAUAGGCAGGCAAGCAAUGCAUGGUUUAAAUUACUUGCAUUCCAAUAAUUGAUGACCAGUAUGUGUUUUGCAAUUUCAGUCAUCAAACUAAGAUUAAGAAACCUAAACAGAUGAAAAAUUUACUAGGCAAUAUACCUUAAGAAGUACUCUGUCACUAUUGUUAAUGUAUCCAUGCCACUUCUCAUCAGAUGGAUAACCAUCUGCAAAAUCUUCAUUUACAGGAGUCCUGUACACAAUAAAAAGAAACCAUGAACCAAGCAUUAUACCAGAGCCAAAGAGCUACUAUGCAAAUUCAACUUGCUCUAACAUAAAAUCACAAGAUGCUAAAAUCGGANNNNNNNNNNNNNNNNNNNNNNNNNNNNNNNNNNNNNNNNNNNNNNNNNNNNNNNNNNNNNNNNNNNNNNNNNNNNNNNNNNNNNNNNNNNNNNNNNNNNNNNNNNNNNNNNNNNNNNNNNNNNNNNNNNNNNNNNNNNNNNNNNNNNNNNNNNNNNNNNNNNNNNNNNNNNNNNNNNNNNNNNNNNNNNNNNNNNNNNNNNNNNNNNNNNNNNNNNNNNNNNNNNNNNNNNNNNNNNNNNNNNNNNNNNNNNNNNNNNNNNNNNNNNNNNNNNNNNNNNNNNNNNNNNNNNNNNNNNNNNNNNNNNNNNNNNNNNNNNNNNNNNNNNNNNNNNNNNNNNNNNNNNNNNNNNNNNNNNNNNNNNNNNNNNNNNNNNNNNNNNNNNNNNNNNNNNNNNNNNNNNNNNNNNNNNNNNNNNNNNNNNNNNNNNNNNNNNNNNNNNNNNNNNNNNNNNNNNNNNNNNNNNNNNNNNNNNNNNNNNNNNNNNNNNNNNNNNNNNNNNNNNNNNNNNNNNNNNNNNNNNNNNNNNNNNNNNNNNNNNNNNNNNNNNAUCUUAUUUAAUAGUGAGAUUAAGUUUGAUUUUAUUUGAAUUAAUAUGAUUAACCCAUACAUUUAUGAUUCAAUUAACUUAUUUAUUCAAAUUUUGAAUAAGUGAAUUAUGAAUCAAAUAGACUAUGGUUAUAAUCAAGCUAAUUGCAUCAAUAUUAAAUAAGUCUAUAGCCAUAAAAAAAAUAGCAAAUUAAAUUAUCUCUAAAAUGGUCUUCAAAAUUAUGGUCUCUCAAUUCAAUAAAAUUUGGGUUUGACAAAUGAUGGGUCAUACGUAUUUUACUCGUUACACAUAUUCAAAAAGUGACAUAUAACAAAAUUAACUAUAUUUUGAAGGCUAUAAAAUUUACUAUUACAAAUAAAAUCAAAUUUUCCUAUUGCAGUCAUAAGAGAAUUAAAAUAAUUAAAUAUUUUUUAUAAACUUUCAAAGGAAACUCAUCUUCCUGUUGAAGUCAAGAGAAAAUUUAAAAUAAAUAUUAUUUUCUUAAUGAAUGAGACAAGUUACCAAUAUCAAAUAACCAAGUUUUUUUAAUUAAACAACUUACUUUUAGUGAUUUCAAAUUUAAUUUUCUAAUUUCACAUAUAAAAUAAUGGUGACUUCAUUCAAUGAAAAAUCAUUUGAAUAUAAAAACGACUUUACAAGGGAAAGAGGCAAAAUCAACUAACAAAUUUAAGAAAUCAUAAAAGACCUACACAAGUGUUUAACCGACCCUCAAUUGAACAUCUUCGUUGUCAUAAGUUACCAUCGCAUUGCAAGACUUCACAAAAUUUGUGAAAACAAAUUCAAUUUAGAUAAAAUUCAUAUUAUACAAAUAGACUAAAAAACAAUUUGUUUAUUAAAUGAAUCACAUAGAUCAUUAAAAAUUUCAUCAAAUGAGAGAAUAAGUUAGAUCAUCACUUGUUUUGUGAUAAUAAAUGAGAUAUAUUAUAUAAAUUUUUAUAUAUAUAUUAAUUCCAAAUUGAGAUAUGAGAUAUAUAUAUCCUCUAUAUCAUAAAUUUAUUAUUUUUUAAAAAUUCUUAUAUUAUUUAUAAAUUUUAUAGUGAAUGAUAUAGUGUUACAUUUUUUAUUUAUAAAUUUUAAAUAUUUCAAUUGUGAAUAUUAUUAGCAAAUAAAAAAAAAAUUAUUUUAUAAAUUUUAAAUUGUUGAAUAAUUUCCAAGAUUUUAUAUUGCUAUUUAAACCGCAUCAAUGUUGUAACGCACCCAACUAUGUAGAUAUUGUCCGCUUUGGGCUAAGGGGGCCCUCACGGCUUUAAAACGCGUCUACUUGGUUAAGAAGAGUCUCUACAUAUAUAACGUCAGGAACUUUCUCCCAUAUCCGAUGUGGGACAUCACAAACACCCCCCAUGCAGCCAACUAUGUAGAUAUUAUCCGCUUUGGGCUCAAGGGGGCCCUCACGGCUUUAAAACGCGUCUACCUGGUUAAGAAGAGUCUCUACAUAUAUAGCGCCAGGAACUUUCUCCCCUAUCCGAUGUGAGACAUCACAAAUGUUGUAUUCAGGGACUUCAUUAGGAUCAAACUAGCGAGAUGGAGUUAGGUGUAGAAAACUGAAUUUGAGGUGGUAGUUAUGGAAACAAGCAGGCCGCCCCAUGGGCCAUGGCAAGUCCAGGCUCUCCAGGGUAGGUGGCUGACCUGUCUGUUCAAAAUCUUCACCAACUCGUGGAAUCAUAAAGCGGAGUUUCGCUUCUUAGCUAUAAAGCCAUGUGAUGUGCCUGAUGGGGAAAGACUCUCACCAUCUGUUUGGCUACCAAUAUUUAAAUAGAACAAUCCGAGUGCUACUGGCUUUGCGGAUCUGUAUUUAUGUCGCCAAUAUUCGCAAUACACCAACCACAUCACGUGAGUCUCAUGUCUUCAUAUUUCUAUACCAUGGUUAUCCCCGUCUCGGGUUGUAAAUUAUUUCGGGGAAAAAUAUGUUUUCAUACCUUACAUUAAAAAAUUAUAAAAUAUAAAUUUUAAAUAAUUAUUUACAAAUAAUUAACAUUUUGUAUAUAUAUAUAUAUUUUUAUCAAAUGUAAUAUCUUGGUUGUCGAUUUUUUUUCUCACUUGGGCUCGUCCUAAACGGACGGACCUUGUUGAAUAUAAGGUUAUAUUAUUUACGUAUUGAGAAGUGUCUCGUCCAUAGAGGGUCUUCUGGGCUUUUCAUGAACCAUGACUCUUUUGGGCUGAGCAAGGCUGCGCCGGUCACUACUUGAGAUUGGGCUGAGCUACCAGUCUACUGAGGUAUGGAAAAUAUAAGAAUAAAAGAAGUAGGUGCUCCUUCAACAUUAUUCGAGUAGGGUAAGUGUCCAUGGCCGCACACAUCACACAUGUGGGUAUGUACCCCCUAUAUGGAUUGUGCUUUAAGGGCAACCAAAACCCCUUUAUUCCUUCCAAGUAAAGCACUGCAUAAUCAAGGAAAAUCCUCUCCUUUCUUCAACUUACUCUCUUUCACUUAAAAUUCAAUUUCCUCUACAGAUAUUUGGCGCCUAAAUUCGAAUGAACUAACUAAAAUAACGUCCCUAACGGUCAUUCCCUCUCUAAGCACCCAACUUAUGUCCACUUCCUUCCAACUGUACCAUAUGUCCCACCCCUCAGGUCCAAAUCAUUCUACUAGGAUUUAAAAAGGUUAUUGAAGAUGGACACACCACCACAAGUGGAAACAUACACUACAAGAUGGGGCUGCAGUGCCUUGACUCCAAUACUGAUUUACUAGGUUUAAUGAUCAGUUUCUGGUUGCCACAACUUCUAUUCUUCCAAUUUUCAUCAUCAAACUUCAGUGAUCAUCUUACAUUUUUGGUUUUGCAGAUAUGUCUGUCUCUCCAUUGAAGGAGUCUCGGAGUAGAUAUUUUUAUGGCAGUUCCUGGCAUAACCCUAUGGUGAGUAUGCAUCAUUUUCAUUGUGAUUUCACUUAAUAGAUGAUAAUUGAUUACAGACAUUGUGGUGGUAUGGUAUUGUUAUGAGACAGAUUGGUUCCAGUGAAAGCAGCCUGAUGAGGGACGCUAUCAUGUCGGUGGAGGAGAUGAAGAUCCGGGGAGAGCUUGAGGUGGAUAUAGAGAGAGACUUGGAGGAAGAGAUCAAAGAUGGUAUAUACCAUCUUGCUCUUCGACUGCACCGCCUUUACCAGCACCAGAAGGAAAGAAAUGCCAGAGAAUUUCUACUACAUGAUGAAUCGGGAGAAAAGGGGAAAAUACUUUCUGAGGUUAACAUAAUUAUUAGAAUGGAUGGAGGAACCAAAAUCGAAAUCAAAGAGACGAAGAAGGAAGCUCCAGAAAGGAGUAGAACUCGGGCUUCUGCAGCACAAGUUACCCGAGGAAUGCCGCUGCCUGCUGACACCAAGAAAUUUGAUUGGGCCAAGUCUCUCAGGCAGACGGGAGCUAGUCCUAGGAUUGCUACGAAUAAGAAAAUCAGUAACAGCUCAUAUCAGGCUAGAAUGUCUUAUGAUCGUAACCUCAAACUUGAGAAUGCCAAGAGAAAUAAGGGGAAUGGAAGUGGAGACCACAAUUUACUUCAACUUGGAUGGAGAAUCUGAGUUGAUCAUUUGGGUUAGUGGCAUGAAAAUAAUGCGUCUACUGAUUGUGCUAUGUGACCAUAAUAAGCCAUCGUUAGCAUAUGCUGUCAUGUGAGAGUGUUGUAUGAAAUGCUUUGUUAAUAAAAGUGUGAAACAAUCUGGAAAAUAAGUUCAAAUUUGGAGUAUUUUUUAUUUUUUAUAAAAUUUAAAAAAAUUAAUUUAAUGAAAUUUAAAUUUGAUAUUUGUUUCUACAUAACGGAUGAGCCAUAGAAAACUAGGUGAAGGGAAAGGGGUGUAGUGGCAAGCUUGAGUUCAUUAUGGGCCGGGCUAAUGCUUGAGCAUACUUUGAGCCCAUUGUCUGUUAGCUACAUGAACCGUAAUUGCAGCCAAAGCUCGACCCACAGUAUAUGAGUAGUUUCACUUGCAUUCCUCUCUUGUUAGGCCCAGUGAGGACAGUAGACCAAUUCCCUUGUUUUAAAACUACCGACACGUGACAUUCGGCUAUAGGGUGUUACUACAGGAUACGAGCCAGAGGAUGCCUGUAUCGAAAGUUGAACAGUGAGAACGGCCCAACAGCGAAAAUGGACUAAUUUAAAAAGCCUAGAGACAAUAGAAUGGUCCCAUUUGGGGCGGCUACAUAAAACAUGAUGAUUGACUUUAUAUCAUUUGGAAGGCGCCAGAAAGCAACACUUCGAUAAUGUUGGUUGAUUGAAUACAGUUCAUGAUUCUCCCUUCGUCAAUCGAAGUUAAUCCAUUAUGCCGUUGAGAAAUGAAAUUAUAAGGUAGAGGGUGGAAUAUAUACAUAUAUAGGACGAGGAAUGAGUGGGUGAAUAAAGGGUAUAGCUGAGGAGUUUUAAUGACCAAGACAAAGACCAUGUUCCAAUAGAAUGAGGAAGUGGAGACAGUGGAGUCCCACAGCAAUAAAAUUGGAAUCACAUGAAAAGCUCAUCUGGGGUUGUCUGGACUUUGGAUUGAGUAGGGACAGGCAAUCCAAUGGUCAAUUCUAAAUUAACCAUUGGCGAGCCAUUGAAUCGUCCGACUGCUUCAACUGUCAAAAAGGUGUUCGGACCUUUUCUUUCCAAUGGCAAAGUUGGCUUUCAAAAAAGUCGAUAAUCCAAACGAAUCUUUGGAGGCCCCCCUCUUUGGCUUCUCCUGCAAUAUCUUAUAUAAUGUAUUCCUUCAUUCCUCUCACUAGGACUCAGAUCAGCUCACACAUAUAUAUAUAGCCAGCUACAUACAAUAAUAGUAAUACAUAUUUAUUGUUCUUGUAGCCAUCACCUUUAUUAAUACAACAGCUAAACCAUCAAUUUUUGUUAGUUUUUAUUCAUCGUUAUCUUCUUCAACAUACUGUUUCUAGAACCUUUUACAGCAAGAAGACCACAAAGUUGGGGGCACAGUCGUUUGCGACCAUCUUUUAUAUGUAAGGAUAAAAUUGUAAUGGUUUGAAUCAAAGAGUUUGGGUACAUAUUUUGGAUACUUACAAGUUUACAUGUUCCUCCAAAAAUACCUCAGUCUGACCCAUGCUUCAUGAUGACGGGACAGCAAUGAUCUUCUGUGUCUCACUUGUCUUCUAGGCGUUGAAGUUGAGCUUCAUUUUUUGCUAAUAUUUUUGUAGAAUCUUACUUCAACUUAAUUAAUUAUUGGUUCCGACAUGUUUCUCGGGAUGAUAAUACAGGCUCAACACAAGGACAGUUUCUUCAAAUUAGAGUAUUGCAGUCUUUGAACAAGCGAUGACAUCAUUGUCAGAUUCCGCCAGGUGGUUCCAGUUCCACCAAUGGACGGGCUAUGGCCUUAUUUUCCUAGGUUCUAUAUAUAUAUAUAGGGAACACAUAGAAGUCCAUUCGGGGUUCAUCACACAAGAAUCCAAUGGUAAUAGGAUCUCAACACAGCUGAGAGAAGGUUCACUGAAAAAACUCACAACAAAUAACAUUUUUGUCAUGAAUUUGUUUCUCGCAGUGAUGGACGAAUCACCCUUUUUCCAACUUUAAUGAAAAAUAAGGCUCACUGAGGCCAUUAUAAUUUAAUCUUAACUACAUACAACAUUGAUUUUGCUUCUGUUUUCUCUCCCAUUCUCCAGGUUGUAGAGGUUUUUCUCUUUUUCCAAACAAGCAAGCUGAAUCCUUUAUAGCGUCAGGACAUCACACACAUGAUACGCGUUGUUUAAUUUACACACAUGCAGCUGCUACUUUCAUUUAAAUGUUGGUUAUUAGAUCUCUUAACUUUGUAUCCAUCAGCUACCUACUAACUCAGUCGUGUUCCUUCUGAUCGGGCAACUCAUGCAUGCAUCAGCAUCAGAAUCGUAAUAAUGUUGAUGUGUCAUCCUUGUCCCAGGAUUUGCACAUUUGAUUUGUAGUUUGCCUUUUUAUGUGUUCUUGUUCUUAUUUUAGAAAUAAGGUUUUUUUUUUUCCUUAAAAUUGUUUAGCUAAAAUAGGCAAUACACUUCCUUUAGAAUUUUUAGUUAUUAAGAAACACUCACAGGCGGUUUAGACAAAAAAGAAGUGACAAAUCUAGCAUGGUUUAGAAUUGGUGACAGGUUAGGAUGGAUCACUUUCCUCAAUACGAUGUUAAAACUUGAAGGUGACCCAUCAAAAGGAAAGACUAGCAAUUUCCAUUAUUGAGCUUCAUGUGGUCAGCUAGAUGAAGGGGCAAUUUCAAUUAUGCUGGUUAUAAAUCAGAAGCAGCCUAUUUCCAUAAAAUUGAUGAUAAGAUUCAAUUACGGGAAUCCAUUCAUUGACUGUAUGCUGUUGGGGACGAUCAAGUAGAAAAAAUAUGCAUGGGCUUGGUGGGUCGACCAACGAGUUAAGGCAAAGCAUGGGAGAAAUGAAGCAAAGGUUACGUCAUGGGAGACAGUGGAAUGGCAAAACAGAUGAUUUUUCCUGGAAAACGCCUCCAGAUUGACUAUCAUCCUGAUCUACAGAGUUCCCGUUGCGGUGUUGGCUGUAACUCACUCAUAAUUAAACUAGGACAGAUGACCCCAGAUGAACGUGAAACGUACGAGCUUAUGGCGACCUUGACUAUAAACUAUGGAGAUUUAAGGGAUCUAGACUUUAAUACGAGUCAAUAUUAGAUCUCAAAACAAUUAAAUGCAAUCCGUGCAAGUGGUUGGGUUAUGGGCACUUAGUCUCCAAAUGUGGAAAACUUAACUGAAAGUGCAUUGCCUAUGUCAUAAAAACCUCAACUGCGAACGCAAGUAACUGAAUUCACACAUAGUGAUGAAUCAUCUGUUUGAGAUAAUUACAAUGAUGAUGAAAGAGAUGAAAUCACUGUGAAAUAAAAAAUAGCAUUCGUUGUAGUUGAAUCCAAGUUCAUUCCCACUUUUUCUUUUCUUCCUGGCUAGCCAAGACUUGAAAAGAAGGUAGUUUAUCAAGGAGGGUUAUCCAGCAUGUCCACCACAAAAGUCGAUAACAUGAAAACAAGAACAAGUAGGUGUUCAGAUGUGUACAAAUUAAGAGAAUGGUAGAAGUGCAAUGUAUGAAACUUUGAGACUCCAAGUAGGAGAUCCAAAAAGAGACUAAUUUGAGAAGAAAACCGCCUUACCUAGUGCAUAAUAUUUCACAAAUCGUCUUUCAAUUACUCUCAGACUGAAAUCCCACAGUUGGGAUUUCUUUAAAUGACCAAAAGAUAAAAUAGAGACAGUGGAUCAAUUUGGAUAUAUAGGUAGAAGAGGAAUUGGAUGAUUACAACUGUUUGAUCUGGCUUAUCUUUGACCAAGAUGCCCAUGUAGGUGGACCACAUUUCCAGUGUGCAGCUUUAACUGCUACUGGGCUCGCCCGGAACAAGCAAAGCAUCUUGAAGGGUAUGUCUUGUAGGCAAGCCUGGAGUCCAGGAAAAGCAAAAUCGUCAACAAAAGUGUAUGUUGCCAGUAUACUUGAAACAUCAAAUCUCAUAUAUAGAACUAGUGAAAGGAAACCAAAAUAAGCACACCUCUCUUAAUCUUACCCUAACCGAACAAACCAGACCCCCUGCUGUAUCAAGUUGAACCAUGAAUCCUUAAUUACUAACUAAUAGCAGUUUACAAACGGCUGCUUUUGCCUGUAGGAGGAGAAUUGGAGAGAAAUGAUUGUAGAAGAGAAGGAAGAAGAAGAUCAGUGAAAAGAGAUUCUUGGGAUCUUAAUGGAAUCCGUGCAACAAAGCUGAAUCUCAAGUGAGGCCAGGUAGUAGUUGAAAUUUUGCAGACAAAAGCAGCGUGUACCUCUAGUGUAUAUAUAAAGAUUUUUCUUGAUGGAUGAGUGCCCACAUGUUUCCCUUGGAACAUGUAGGGAAAAAGAAAAGGAAAAAAAGAAGAGAGAUUGAAUUUAAGGGCAAGCUUUGGAUCUAUCGACUUUGGGAAACAUGGACUCAACCCACGUUUGGAUUGGAGCUUCCAUGAGACCAUACUACUGUUGCAGAUACAUUCUCUUUCCCAAGAGAAAAUAAAACAAAUAAAAUAGUAUAAAAUAAUGUGAAAACAAUUUGGUACAGCUCUUUCCUUCCCAAGGUACCCCCUAUCAAUGAUCAGACAUCUGGGUUCUACCUUUUCAAUCAUAUGGCCAUGUUGAAGUAAUAUAAGGUAUAUUAUUUUUCUAUAAUUUUUUAAUGGAAAACCUGUAACUCUCAUAAUUUUGAAACAACUAACAAAUGUUAGAAAGAAAAAAGAAAAGAUCGGAAACUGCACUUGAACUGCAAAAGUAAAUGGAGAGCAAGGAAAAACAAAGACAUUGCAACAGAAAUAAGGCAGAGAAGGGGGGCUCUUCCAUUCAUCCUUGUUUUGUUUGUUUGGUGCAACAUUUAAUGUGGAAAGUACCUCUACCAAAAGAGAUAAAAGAGAAAAGAAAAGAAGAGAAGAAGAAAUGCAGGCAAGCAAAGGCUCUGAGAGCUAGCACGCGAGUAAAAAGCACACACUCUUAACACAGACAGCGCGCAUCCACAUUGAAUGGAGGACGAGGGAUCUGUGUUGAAAUUUUGAAAAGAAAGCGAGAAAAAGAGGGAGUGCACUCAUUCAAUGCCAUCCAUAAUGCUUCAAACAUGAACCUCCAACUCCCUCUUGAAGAAAAUCACAAGCACACGCACGCGUAGAAAGAGAUAAUGUGAAUGGAAAAUGCAGGUUCUCACACGUCUGUUCCAAAGUUUAUAAGAUGACACAAAUUUACAAAUGAAGGCUGAAAUUGAACAAGGUGAAGGAAAAAUGCUUGGGUUUCAAGCAUAUCCUCACACCUAGCUCCAACCAGUUAUGACACAGAAAACCUUAAGACCCCCAUUCACCAUCUUUCCACUCAUGUUACUCACUAGGUACUGCUAUAAAGAAACAUCUACUGAAACCAAGUAAAGAUUUUCCAUGCACGAAAAGAGAACAACACAUCAACAAUAACCUACUCUAGAUUUUGGAACAAGUGGACAUAUCAUAUCCAUCCAAACACCAGCACGACAGAAGUGGAAAACCAAGAAGAUAACAAGAGAAGGAAAGAGAGAUAAAAACCCUAAAAAGGAGAAAAAAGGAAAGAAAGAGAAAAACUAAAUUCCCGAGAAAGUAGAGUGCUCAGCAACAACAACAUUUCCCACUUGCAACUUUGUAACCGGUCGGGAUGAACUUCCAUUGUUACACUCACUGCGCAGUAGGAUGAUAUAGGUAGAUACAAUAGAUAUAGAGGAUUCUAGGGUUUCUUACCCAGGGUGUGCUUGUUGUUGUGCAUCCAAACCUUGAGCACAUGACGUUUCACGCCCGUCUCGCUACAGAACUGCUGCACCACUGCCUCGUCAUGCUUCUGAAUCCUC